AUUACACCUAAAAUCGACGUAUCAACCAGACAACAAUGAGUGAUUGAUUUACAUCAAGCAUCAACAUUCAACGCAUCAAAAAGCAGUAGGCACCAACUCCCAAUCUCUCACACAACACCAGAAAUCUCAAUAAUCCAGCAACAAUGGCGGAUCUUCCCAAUCCUUCAUCUUCCGAUUCCACUGAAUUCCACCAUCCUCAUAACCAAUCUUUGAUUCCAAUUCUCUCUAACGAUGUAGCAUUACAAUGCCUAGCUCGAAUCCCCCGUGUUCACCACCCUUUUCUCUCUCUUGUGUGCAAAUCAUGGCGUUCUACUCUCUAUUCUCCUCUUUUCCACGCUACUCGUUGUCAACUCAACACUGUUCAAUCAUUUCUCUUCUUCAAUGUCCGCCUCUUUAACCCUAAAGAUUCCACCUUUUCUUUCAAAUGGUACUCUCUUGACCCUUCUACAGUUUUUUCAACAAAUACCUACAAAUCAAGAACCCUAAUCCCAAUUAGCCCCUCUCCAUUUCAACCGAUUGGAGCUUGUUUUGUUUCAUUGGGUCGUUUUUUGUAUGUAAUUGGUGGGUCAAUUCACGAUAUUCCCUCUCCUAAUAUGUGGGUUUUUGAUUGUUUGACUAAUAAAUGGGAAAUGGGUCCGAGAAUGAGGGUUGGGAGGGAAUUCGCAGCAUCUGGGGUGAUGAAUGGGAUGAUUUAUGUUGUGGGUGGUUGUGUUGUGGAUAAUUGGGCAAGGUCUAUGAAUUGGGCUGAGGUUUUUGACCCGGUUAGUCGAUCAUGGGCCGCGGUUCCAUGCCAGAUUGAGAUUAAGGAGAAGUGGAUGCAUGCAAGUGCUGUUAUAGAAGGGAGGAUGUAUGCAAUGGCCGAUAGGGGUGGGGUUGUUUUCGAACCGGGGGCGGGAGAGUGGGGUAUGGUGUCUACUGAGCUUGAUAUGGGAUGGAGGGGACGGGCCGCGGUGGUAGAUGGUGUGUUGUAUUGCUAUGAUUAUUUGGGGAAAAUAAAAGGGUUUGAUGUUGGAGAGAAUAAGUGGAAAGAGUUGAAAGGAGUUGAUAAGAAUUUGCCCAAGUUUUUGUGUGGUGCUACAAUGGCUAAUGUGGGUGGAAAGUUAUUUGUUGUGUGGGAAGGGAAUGGGAAUGGAAAGGGAAAAGAGAAUGAGAAGGAAAUGGAGGUGUUUUGUGCCGAGAUUUCGGUUUCGAAGGAUGAUUGUGGUGAUUUGUGGGGAUUGAUUGUGUGGUCUGAUGUGAUAAUUACAGUUCCUAAGGGUUCUUCUGUUGUGCAUUGUUUGGAAGUUCGUUUGUGAGUUCCUGUUGGAGUAACUUCAGUAUUUCUGGAUGUGCAAAAACAUGAACCUAAUUUCUAAAGCAACAAUUUGAUAUUGGGUCAUUUAACAUGAGGGCAAUGUUGUGUACAUUCAAUCCUACUGAAUCCUGCGUGAAUAAGCCCAAGUAGCUGUAACAUCAAGGGAAGGGCUGUAUAGAAUAAUUGACACAGGCUCAAAUGGGAAUUGAUCUUCUGAAUCUUGAGACCGUUGACGCCAAAUGGUUCCCGUUGGAGCCUGACAACCUUCACCUUACUACAGCAGCACAAGUCGAACUAGCUAGGAGAGAAAUUGGCGCAUGCUUUUUUGCCGAUCCUCCAUGGAACCAGUACAAAGUAAUGCAAGCAGUUUGAUUGUACAAAAUAAUACAGCCUCAAUUUUACACAGGAAUUGGUUUUACACUGCUCUUAUUUCUGUACUUCCGUUUUUCUUUGAUUCCCUUAGCAGCACAUAAAACUCAGCUGUUGCAUUUUUACGUAUAUUUAGAUUGUGAGAACAGUAUAUUACCCAAAAAACGAUAUUGAAGGUGCAUAUCUACAUGAAAUACGACAUUAAUACAAUGCUUGCGGAAGAUAUCAAUGGGCUGGUUAUUGAGUUCUUCGGGGUUUACUGAGGUGAUAGGUCACGAUAAAUAUUUAGGCCUCCCCACCGUGUUUGCUAGGUCUAGUAAGUCUUCUUUUGAUGGGAUUUGGGAUCAUAUUUUGAGAAAACUGAAGGGAUAGAAGGAAAAGUUGCAUUAUCGUCAAAGCAACUAUAGAGACUCCACUGUUUUCCUGUUUCUUGUGACUCGAUUACUUAAAGCCGGAUACUACCCAUGUACGUCGUUGUGGGAUACUAAUGGAGGGUUCAAUCCAAGCUAUUCAUGGAAAAGCAUUUGGGAUCCUACGAACAUGUUGGAGCGUGGGGCUAGAUGGAGAAUUGGUGAUGCUUGGUUCGGAGGCAAGGAAACAUGCAAAAUCUUGAAUUCUCAUAGAAUACUUAACAAGGAGGCUACGAUGAGUUCCUGAGGGUUCCUAACGGUAAACAUCUUCAUGAUGAGUGCAUAUGAGCCGCUAGUAAUGAUGGUUUGUUCAAAGUUAAAGACACUUACGAACUGGCCAUCAGUGACAAUGAGUAUGCAUCCAGGUCGAGGGUGAUGAACUGAUAUGUUGUGGAAACUUUUGGUUUCCCCAAGAUUAAAUGUUUUCCUUAGAGACCUCUUUCAAACAUCACCCCCACAUGAGUAACUUGAAAAAGAGAGGGAUCGAAACAAAAACCGACCUUCAUACAUUGAGAGAUUACUUCUGGGCUCGCAAAUUUUGGGAACUUGAAGGCUUAAAAUUCAUAAAAGUGGCAGCGCCAUUUUUCAAAUUUUGGUGACAGAAGUUGUUUAGGAGGAAAAGCUAAAUUUGCAUCAAAAGGGCCAUAGACCAGCUUAAAGGUUUUCGCAAGGUUAAUGGCAGCUGCAAUGACAAUAAGAGAAGAGAGGUGACAUCAUGGAUUGCACCUAAUGAAGGUACGGUUAAGCUAAACUUUGAUGCUUCUGUCCCCAAAGGAGGAAAAGAUGGUUUACGAGUGGUGGCUCGCAACCGGAAAGGUGAAGUCCUCAUGACUGCUUCAAGAACUCAAUUGUUCGAUGAUGGCCGGGAAAUUAUGGUAGCUAGAGCUGCUGUGUAGGCUUGUGAUCCGGCUCGUGAAAUGUACUGGGAAGAGGUGCUUGUCGAUGGAGCUUCACAAACUAUAGAAGUUAUCAUGUCCAAGUUUAUAUUAGAGAAUAUUUUAUAUUACUUCGUUAAUACUACUCUCGGAUUCAUUUUGCAUUAAUUGUCAUUUUAUUUUAUUCCUCUUAUUUUACAUCAUUUAUAUUCUUUGACAAUGAUCUACCACUUUCUUUUAAUCUCAUCUUUAACUUUUAUUUUGAUUUCAU
Amaranthus tricolor (Joseph's coat) is the source of this 3219-nucleotide RNA transcript. It is a transcript of the gene named F-box/kelch-repeat protein SKIP6, with no coding region annotated. NCBI's taxonomy places the organism in Eukaryota, Viridiplantae, Streptophyta, Magnoliopsida, Caryophyllales, Amaranthaceae. The transcript has 3 exons. The record is from RefSeq and is a predicted model, not a curated record.